This 205-nucleotide ribosomal RNA is filed under the name synthetic construct. RNAcentral describes it as "partial 18S rRNA". It matches the Rfam family "Eukaryotic small subunit ribosomal RNA", at positions 597 to 805 of the family's 1831-position model. The record is from RNAcentral.
GUGUAUAUUUAAGUUGUUGCGGUUGAAAAGCUCGUAGUUGGAUUUUGGGACGACGCGUCUGGUCGGUCGCAAGGCUCGUACUGCACGCGUUGUCCUCACGUGACCGGUACUUCUAAGGUGCUCUUGACUGAGUGUCUUUGUUGUCCGGUAAGUUUACCUUGAAAAAAUUAGAGUGUUCAAAGCAGGCUUAAAGCUUGAAUAAUGU